Molecule: long non-coding RNA, 1620 nt
Filed under: Carassius auratus (goldfish)
Lineage: Eukaryota; Metazoa; Chordata; Actinopteri; Cypriniformes; Cyprinidae
Description: lncRNA (ENSCARG00000062683.1)
Source: RNAcentral
CAAGAAUAUGAACUUGGAUUAAAAUAACAUUUAUUCAGAUAAAAGCAACUAACUUUUAUGAAGCGACUAGCAAAAUAAAAAAAAAAUUAAAAAGGUGGUGUAUCAAUUUUCACUCAAUGCCUAGUAAAUUUGACAAAUAAAUAGUAUUUUAUUUAUAAAUACUCCAAUAAUCUUUAUUUCCAACUUUUAAAAUGUUUAAAAGACCAACCUAUGAGCAAUAGAACAUUCUCUUUCACUGGGUCCGUCUUUUAAAAUGUUUCGUUUAACCUCCCCAAUUCCCAUUGUUUACCUUUAAAUUCAUAGUUUAGAGUUUUGAUUGCUUGAUCAACAUUAAUUUUAACUUCUAGACUACAAAUGUGAUAUUGAAAAUGGCACAUAUUGAAGCUUAAUUGGUCAGACUUUUGCACACAGCUCUCAAAGCAUCAUUAUUGUCUUGAGCAUUGAGCAUCACUUCAUCAGAGGAUGAAUGGACAGAGGACACACUGUGAAUGAGUGUGCAAGUAUUCUGGGAAAAUGUUUGCUUGUAUUUUUAGUUUUCUAGUUUGUUCUCAGAGACUGCAAUCCCUGACGUAGAGAGAAGUCUUGACGUCCACCCAUCCCAAUACGUAAGACAGACUUCUCUCUCGCUCUUCUCUCUCACACACACACACACACACACGCACACACACUUGUAAAACAGGGGUUUAGGGGUUGGACCACAGGGAGGGGUGUGUCUCUAUAAGACGACCGAGCAACAGCAUCCUCUUAGGAAACAAACAGAAGCAGGAGAUAGGAGAAAAGAACCGUCUUCAGUUUCAGCAGAUCUGCUCAGGACAGGUGCCUGAACCACACACAGCUCAGAAAAAGGAAAAGAAACUGACAGUGGAGGGUGGAUUCAAAUAUGAAAACAGGACGCAUUUAAGUGUAAGAGUUAAAUUAACACUUAAGCUGUGUUUUUACACCGAUGAGUUAAUGCUACUUAGAGGAGACUGUGUGUCUCUGUUAGAUUCUGCAUUAAAACGCAAAACUGCCUAAAGCCUAUUAAAGGGGUCAUGAACUGAGAAAUCAAAAACCCUUGUUCUUUUGACAUAUAAAUGGUCAUUGUACUAUAUAAAAUAACAUUUCUUUACCUGCCCCAACUGAGCCAUGGAUAACCCAUGGGUUCCGCUGGUUAUGAUACAACCCGCGCAUCGGGGACAUCACGCAAGUUACAUUCCUACGUUGGCCUUCAUAUUGUAACCUUAUCAAAGAACUUAAUAAAAUAUGAAAACAGUAGGGUUGCAUGAUUAAUUGCAUGUGAUUGUCAUGCGUGUCUCGUCAUGGCUGAACAAUUAAUCACAUGUGAUUGUCAUGCAUGUCUCGUCAGUAAAGUAAAGUUCUGUGAUUAGUACUAAGUAUCCAUCACCUGCUUUUAAAUGGAGUGGCACUAAAUAAACAGUUUAGUUGUAGUUUGCUGCGUUCAUAACCGAAUGUGAUUCAUCUGCCAUUAUGACGCAGUAUUGCGUAGCUUGUCAGCGAACUACGGUUCUAUUUACUGAUGAGACACGCAUGACAAUCACAUGCGAUUAAUAGUGCAGCCAUAAAAAAUAGUUAUUCCAAAUAUUUCAUAUAGGCUAUAGGGAAUUGCACAGAACAUACAUG